ACUUCUGGACUUUGUAGCUGACGUGGCCCCCAAGUACCUUUUUAUUGCUUAAGUGAAAUUCUGUCAGGUGUAGUCAAUAGUCUGCCUAAUUUCAUUAGGGCUUUACUGCUUUAGCUGAAUACUUUCCUGGCAAGUUUAUAAAGACUGGGAAUUGCUUUAGGAGUUGAGCCAUCACAGGACCUUCUUGGUCAAGUUUGUGUUUUUCCUGGCAAUUAAAUUCCUUUAACAUCCAGCAAGUGCCAGAAAUCUUACUGAGUCACGAUUCCAGAAUCCAGAUUCUGCCUCUGAUGUUUCAGUCUCUUGGCAACAGCAGUUGCCUGUCCCUGAAGCGCUAGGUCACAGUUGAAUACUUUUGUUUUUGCUGCUACCUGUGAAACAACAGCUGUACAGUGGACACACUGCCUUGGUACCUUAGAGAGCCCUCGAACAGACCAGCCCCAGCACUUGAACAGAGCAUUCCUCUUCAGGGGACGAAAACCAUGGUCCAGAUCAAGAAGCAUAAACGAGGAAAUUGAAAAUCCCGCAUUGUUCUAUUUCCGAGUGAAAAGCUUUGACUCACCACUAGAGGGCACUAUUCACCCUCUCAUCUUUCUGAAGGUUUCAGCCCAGCAGGGCUCGUUUUCAAAUGAAAAUAACUGCAUUUACUAAGUGCUACUCUGUCAAUGCAUCCCACCCUAUCUUGGAGAAAACUUCUUGGAGAAGACUCUUGAGAGUCCUUUGGACUGCAAGGAGAUCAAACCAGUCCAUCCUAAAGGAAAUGAGUCCUGAAUAUUCAUUGGAAGGACUGAUGCUGAAGCUGAAACUCCAAUACUUUGGCCACCUGAUGUGAAGAGCUGACUCAUUGGAAAAGACCCUGAUGCUGGGAAAGAUUGAAGGCAGGAGGAGAAGGGGAUGACAGAGGAUGAGAUGAUUGGAUGGCAUCACCGAUUCGAUGGACAUGAGUUUGAGUAAGCUCCAGGAGUUGCUGAUGGACAGGGAAGCCUGGCAUGCUGCAGUCCAUGGGGUCACAAAGAGUUGGACAUGACUGAGCCACUGAACUGAACUGAACUGAAUUGAGCCCCUCCCUCUCUGUGUCCACAAGUCUGUUCUCUAUGUCUGCAUCUCUAUUUCUGCUCUACAGAUAGGCUCAUCAGUACCAUUUUACUAGUUUCCAUAUAUGCAUAUAUAUAUAUAUAUAUGUACAUGCAUUAAUAUAUGACAUUUGUUUUUCUAUUUCUGAUUUAUUUCACUUUGUAUAAUGACAGAAUGCUUUUACAUAGUGCUAUCCCUUUUCCAUUUAUAUUUUGAACCUGAGAUCUAAAAAUAAUCUUAAUCCUGAGAUGGUGAUAACCACAAAACCUAAUUUUAAAGUGGAAAUAAAGAUAAAUUAUUAGAGUUCAUAGAAAUCUUAAUUUCUGUGUGCAAAUGACAGUAUUGAGCAGAAAUCCUAGAAUUCUCAUACAGAAAACUUAAAUAUUGCCAUAUCAUUAUUAUAUGCUAUUUUUCCUGUUAUAAAUGGAAAUAUAACCAAUUUUUGAAUUAUUUUGUGCUUAAUAGAAUUCUAUUAUUCAGCAACAUUGUUUUAUGUCAUACAACAAAACAAUAGUAGCUUUCAUGGAUUUUAUUCUUUUUGUAAAGAUUCAGAUUCAGCAUUGAGUUAAGAUGAGUUAACCACUCAUUGCUUCUGGGGUAACAUUCAGUUUUCUAAAAGAGGCAACAGGCAAAUGAGGCCCUAAAAGAACAAAUGUACGUAAUAUCAACAGGUACUUUCCAAAAAAUGAUUUAUUUUUGCCAGUGUUUAGAAAAUAAGAUUUUUAAAUUCUUCAUACAUAAACUCAGCUUAUUUUAAAUGCACACAAUUAAUCUCUUUUUCAUUAACUUGUUUAUAUGAAUUAUUUGUUAGAAAGUUUUUUCUGUCUCAACUUCAAAUCAUAAUAUAGUAUGAUCCAUCCCUUGAAGCUAAGCUAUGCUCUACUCAGGAUUCAGGUGUGUCUUGACAUGUCUGUAAGACUAGUGAGAUGUUCUCCUACCAACAGGGACUGAAAAAUCCCUCUGGAAAAGAGUUAGUCUUAAGGAAAGAACAUCCAAGUUCAUGUCUUAGUCCAUGGAUAAAGCUAGGAUCCAUUUACCAGAGAGGUUAAAUGCCCAAGUGUAGGGCAAUGGGAGUAGAGACUGGGGAUGAGGCAGACACAGAGCUGGUUUUGUGGGCUAAACGAGUAGAAGUCCAUCUGUCUCAAGAGCAAGCAUUACCUCCCUCUAGGAGGGUGAGCUGUAGACCAGGGUUAUUAAAGGCUUCUGUGAUGUUAUUCUAGGUGGUCUACUGAUCUAACAUAGGACUGUGAAUUAUUUGCAUGCCCCUUUACUUGACCACUUGGGUAGAUGGAGAAGGAAACUUAGAAGCAACAAAGAUGGUAUUUCUUUUGGAGCAGGAAAUAUUUGCCAAUUUCCCUUUUUAUUUGCCUAAUCUUUAAAAUUAAUGAGAUACAAACCAUCUACAUGUUAUAAUAUCAUUUGAUGUAAAUACUUUGUAUCUUUGAAGGCUAACCUACAUUUUUUGAAGUAAAAUAUUUAAUAAAAUUUGCUUUCUAAAAUUAAAAAAAGAAUUUAAACAAAACUUGAGUUGCAAUGCAAUAAAGUAUUUGUGAAAGUAUUAAAAUAUAUAGCAAGCAGAGUCACGUUCAAUGAGUAGUCCCAAGGUAUUGAGGAAAACACAAGAUUUAUUGCAAAUAUUGCUCCAGUUCAUACAUUUUAGUCUCCUCAGACUGAUCAAUCAGCAUUUGUACUUCCUCUAGCCGUUUUACAAUCUCAGAGAAAGAUCAUUUCCCCAGAAACAAUGAAAAAGAGUGUUUGUAAAUGUCUAUACAUCUCUAUAUUAUAUAUAUAGAUUGUCUAACCUCUUGAGAAAUGCUUAGUGGAAAAAUUCUUUCAGAAAGCUGGUCAUUCCCUCCUUUAAGUUGUUUGAAGAACAUUGACUCUAGAUUUCAAAUCUCAAAAAAUAUAUUCCCCUUGCUACACAGCAAGUACUAUUGUUUUUCAUUGUUUCCGUGAAGCUGUUAUGAGUCUGAUACAAGAUGCAUGUGAAUUGUUCAGAUAUUUGGCAGGUAUAAUGUAACUAUCAAAAUUGAAACCAACCAAGAAACUCAUUUUUCAGUCUUCAGUCCCAUAUAUGAAACAUUUUGGCCUACCAUCAUUAAUAUAGAAUUACACAGCUUCAUGCUAAAUUUCACUAAGGAUUACCAAGUUCAUGAUUAUGUCCAGAAAGAAUCUUUGUAAUUUUUCUUUGCUAGAAAAAUAAAGUAUUUGUUGUAUCAAUGAACAAGAAAUAUUAAGAGUGGAUUUACUGUGCAGCUAAUGAAUUAGAUUAAGCAAUGUACUCAAAUGGUCAUAUGUUUUUGGAAAAUUUGCAGAAGUUGUAUUUUCUAAGAGCAAUCACUUAAAAUCUAAUUUCCAUCUCCUUUCCUUCCAAUUUUUCCCUUUGUUACCCUCAUGUCCGUGACACUGAUGUGGCUGUGGGAAAUCUAAGAUGAAGUGGAGUUUCAGAUACAUUUAGUUUGGGUUUGAUAGUAUGUUUAUAUGGUUUUCAGUCACUUCUUGGUGUAAAUAAAUUAUUGCUAGAUGUCAUUGCAGGACAUUUCAGUGUACUAGUGUCCUAUCUGCCAACUUAACCAUCAUUAGGUCAGGAACAUCUAGUGCCAGAGAUCUUACAGUGAUUCAAAUGUCCCCUGCAGUACUUGAUUCCAGGAGUGUGGGUAGGAGAGAAGACACAAUAUUUGAAAAGUAAAAACUAGAAGCCAAAUUAGGGAGAAUUUUUCCAAACACCGGAAUGUGUAAAAUCUUAAGUAGAGGAUUUGAUUUUCAUUGAUGCCUGAUCAAAAUGACUUUUUUAAGUAAUAUACUUGAUAAUGGAAUACAGGUAUCCCCU
Molecule: long non-coding RNA, 3901 nt
Organism: Bos grunniens (domestic yak)
Lineage: Eukaryota; Metazoa; Chordata; Mammalia; Artiodactyla; Bovidae
Source: Ensembl